This is a ribosomal RNA of 1834 nucleotides. It matches the Rfam family "Eukaryotic small subunit ribosomal RNA".
UUGUCUCAAAGAUUAAGCCAUGCAAGUGUCAGUACAAACUAGAAUAAAGUAAGACCGCGAAUGGCUCAGUAAAUCAGUUGCAGUUUAUUUGAUGUUUGACAAUCACAGUAAUGGAUAACUGUGGUAAUUCCAGAGCUAAUACAUGCAAAAUUGUCGCCCGAAUCGCUUCGGCGAGGAAGACGACGCACUUGUCUGAGAGAUAAAACCCGACGUAUUGAAAAAGUUGAUGCAGGACAAUUAGAAAUGAUCGCACGUGCCCAGAGCACGGCGACGCAUCAUUCAAGUGCCUGCUCUAUCAACUGUUGAUGGUCGGCUAUGAGCUUACCAUGGUGGUAACGGGUGACGGGGAAUCAGGGUUCGAUUCCGGAGAGGGAGCCUGAGAAAUUGCUACCACAUCCAAGGAAGGCAGCAGGCGCGCAAAUUACCCACUCCCGGCACGGGGAGGUAGUGACGAAGCAUACCGAUGCGGGACUCCCAUCCGAGGCCCCGUGAUCGGAUUGAGACGGGUACAGAGAACCCGAAAAGCAUACUGGAGGGCAAGUCUGGUGCCAGCAGCCGCGGUAAUUCCAGCUCCAGUAGCGUAUGCUAAUGUUGUGGAGGUUAAAAAGCUCGUAGUCUGAAUUGUGUCUAGCGCUGCGGGUCCACAGCAUGUCUGUGCUGACUGCGUAUGUCGCCUAGACUUCAUGGCUGGUAGCGGAGGAGGCUCGGUACGGGGUAAGGGCUUGGUUCCUUCGGGUUAAUCAUGUUCCUCCCUUCCGUAGCUCGAAUCCGCAACUUCAGGUCCCGACCUGGUGCUCUUGACCGAGUGCCUUGGAGGGCCAGCACUCUUACUUUGAACAAACUCGAGUGCUCAAAGCAGGCCUUCCGGCCUUGUCGCUGUGUGCAUGGAAUAACAGAAUAGGACUUCGGUUCUAUUUUUUGUUGGGUUCUUAAGAACCGAGGUAAUGAUCAACAGGAGCAGUCGGGGGCAUCCGUAUUGCAGGGUUAGAGGUGAAAUUCUUGGAUCCUUGCAAGACGAACUAAAGCGAAAGCAUUUGCCAAGGAUGCUUUCAUUGAUCAAGAGCGAAAGUUGGAGGAUCGAAGGCGAUCAGAUACCGCCCUAGUUCCAACCAUAAACUAUGCCGGCCAGCUAUACGUCGGAGUCGAAAUGACCCGGUGUGGAGCCCACGGGAAACCAGAGCUUUCAGGUUCCUGGGGUAGUAUGGUUGCAAAGCUGAAACUUAAAGGAAUUGACGGAAGGGCACCACCAGGAGUGGAGCCUGCGGCUUAAUUUGACUCAACACGGGGAAACUUACCAGGGCAGGACAACAGCAGGAUUGACAGAAUGAAGAUCUUUCUUGAUUUUUUGGGUGGUGGUGCAUGGCCGUUCCUAGUUGGUGAGGCGGCUUGUCUGGUUUAUUCCGAUAACGAACGAGAUCCUGCAUUGCUAAAUAGACCUGAUGGUAUCCCUUCGGGGCUACAUAUGGAAAACAAACCUUCUUAGAGUGAACAACUGCCUAGAGCAGCAUGAAAAUGGGCUAUAACAGGUCUGAGAUGCCCUUAGAUGUCUUGGGCCGCACGCGUGCUACAAUGAAGGAGGAAGAGAGCACGCUCCAGGGCCGUGAGGUUAUGGUAAUCCCCAAAUUUCUUCGUGAAGGGGAUAGGGGUUUGAAAUUAACCCCUUGAACUAGGAAUUCCCAGUAGGCGCAAGUCAAGAGCUUGCGUCGAUUGAGUCCCUGCCCUUUGUCCACACCGCCCGUCGCUACUACCGAUUGAAUGGUCUAGUGAGAUCUCCGGACCGGAGCUCAAGAUCCAAAAGGUCUUGGCAUCCCGGGAGGCUGAUCGAACUUGAUCG